Sorex araneus (European shrew) is the source of this 164-nucleotide small nuclear RNA. Its record names the gene U1. It matches the Rfam family "U1 spliceosomal RNA". From Rfam's summary of the family: U1 is a small nuclear RNA (snRNA) component of the spliceosome (involved in pre-mRNA splicing). Its 5' end forms complementary base pairs with the 5' splice junction, thus defining the 5' donor site of an intron. The record is from Ensembl. Lineage: Eukaryota; Metazoa; Chordata; Mammalia; Eulipotyphla; Soricidae.
ACACUUACAUUGCAGGGAAGAUACCAUGAUCACAAAGGUGGUUUUUGAAGGCUGAGGCUUAUCCUUUGCCCUCCGGAUAUAGUGACCCCUGCUAUAUUCCCAAGUGUGGGCAACUGGACUGCAUGAUUUGUGGUAAAAGGGGACUGCAUUUGUGCUCUCCCCUG